This 65-nucleotide transfer RNA is filed under the name Coenobita rugosus. RNAcentral describes it as "tRNA-Thr". It matches the Rfam family "tRNA". From Rfam's summary of the family: Transfer RNA (tRNA) molecules are approximately 80 nucleotides in length. Their secondary structure includes four short double-helical elements and three loops (D, anti-codon, and T loops). Further hydrogen bonds mediate the characteristic L-shaped molecular structure. tRNAs have two regions of fundamental functional importance: the anti-codon, which is responsible for specific mRNA codon recognition, and the 3' end, to which the tRNAs corresponding amino acid is attached (by aminoacyl-tRNA synthetases). tRNAs cope with the degeneracy of the genetic code in two manners: having more than one tRNA (with a specific anti-codon) for a particular amino acid; and 'wobble' base-pairing, i.e. permitting non-standard base-pairing at the 3rd anti-codon position. Lineage: Eukaryota; Metazoa; Arthropoda; Malacostraca; Decapoda; Coenobitidae. The record is from RNAcentral.
GUUUUAAUAGUUUAAUUAAAAAUUCUGGUCUUGUAAACCAGCGAUGAAAUUUCUUUCUUAAGGCA